This 810-nucleotide transfer RNA is filed under the name Bradyrhizobium liaoningense. RNAcentral describes it as "partial contains 16S-23S ribosomal RNA intergenic spacer and 23S ribosomal RNA". The stretch from base 171 to 244 matches the Rfam family "tRNA". Lineage: Bacteria; Pseudomonadati; Pseudomonadota; Alphaproteobacteria; Hyphomicrobiales; Nitrobacteraceae. The record is from RNAcentral.
GAAGCUUGCUUCUAUCGAACCGUUUUAGAAACAUCAGUGGCCAACAGAUCGCCAGAUCGUUGAGCUGCAUUGGCGGGAUUUCGCCGUCUUCGUUUCUCUUUCUUCGCGGACGAACACGCGCUGGGGCUGCAGGCUUGCAGAUCCCUGGUCCUUGACUGGAUAUGCGUUAGGGGCUUGUAGCUCAGUUGGUUAGAGCGCGCGCUUGAUAAGCGUGAGGUCGGAAGUUCAAGUCUUCCCAGGCCCACCACUUUCAUCGAGUGUGCAUUCGUCUUCUGGUUACGGGGCCAUAGCUCAGCUGGGAGAGCGCGUGCUUUGCAAGCAUGAGGUCGUCGGUUCGAUCCCGUCUGGCUCCACCAGAUGGUUUGAUCACCGAGAUCUUGUACCGUCGUCCGCGAAACAUCACUUCGCACUUGCUAGUCCGGAUGGACAGUAAGCUGCGUGAUUUCUGACAUCGUAAAGAGGAGAUCGAUCCGAGUUGGAUCGUGCGGAGAAUAUCUGCGCGAUACUUCAUUAUCUCCGGAUCAUUUCGGCGCUCGCGCGCCUUUCAGUGUAGCUCACAAGGCUGCGGCUGAGAGACGGGCGAGUUGUGAAUGAUCCUUUUAGCGAAGCUUGACCGCCUCGCUAUCGGAACGAUCUUACGAAGCAAGCUGGUCUUUCUAGUCAAUGUCCGGCUGCAGAUAGCGUUCAUCGAGGGCGCGUGCCGCAAGGUAAUUCUGCAGACAACAUUCUGCCGAGUGUGUGGACAUUGAUAAUGAGAGCAAUCAAGUGCCUUAAGGGUGUUCGGUGGAUGCCUUGGCGCUGAGAGGCGAU